AGUGCCUGUCUCACUGACCCUAUGAAGGAGAAGGAUCUGCAGAGCACAUUCUCAGGACAUCUACCCAUGAGGCUGGUGGGACUCUUGUGAUUGCUACUUGAAUUGGAAUAAUCGGAACGGACACAUGUAAAAGGAAUGCAGAAGGACCAGACAGAUCUCUUCAAAUGUAAACCUAUGACUUAAAAUUCAGUUUCAUGAGCACUGUGGGAGACCUGAGUUUUUAACAGCUGGAGCCAAUAGUGAAGAUAGAUCUGGAAAUUUAAUUAUCCAUGAGUCCUGAGCCACCUUGUAGGAAGUCCAGUUAUCCUAAAGUCAGACUGCUGGAGAGACCAUGUGAAAACACUCCAUAGAAAUGGAGUUGUCCAAGGAGCCAGUUGUUCCAGCCCCCAGCUGACUGAGUCUUCC
This 405-nucleotide long non-coding RNA is filed under the name Pan troglodytes (chimpanzee). Its description in RNAcentral is "long non-coding RNA NONPTRT003555". Lineage: Eukaryota; Metazoa; Chordata; Mammalia; Primates; Hominidae. The record is from RNAcentral.